RNAcentral lists this ribosomal RNA (508 nucleotides) under uncultured bacterium. Its description in RNAcentral is "partial 16S ribosomal RNA". It matches the Rfam family "Bacterial small subunit ribosomal RNA", at positions 28 to 507 of the family's 1533-position model. The record is from RNAcentral.
GACGAACGCUGGCGGCGUGCCUAAUACAUGCAAGUCGAACGCUUCUUUCCUCCCGAGUGCUUGCACUCCAUUGGAAAGAGGAGUGGCGGACGGGUGAGUAACACGUGGGUAACCUACCCAUCAGAGGGGGAUAACACUUGGAAACAGGUGCUAAUACCGCAUAACAGUUUAUGCCGCAUGGCAUAAGAGUGAAAGGCGCUCUCGGGUGUCGUUGAUGGAUGGACCCGCGGUGCAUUAGCUAGUUGGUGAGGUAACGGCUCACCAAGGCCACGAUGCAUAGCCGACCUGAGAGGGUGAUCGGCCACACUGGGACUGAGACACGGCCCAGACUCCUACGGGAGGCAGCAGUAGGGAAUCUUCGGCAAUGGACGAAAGUCUGACCGAGCAACGCCGCGUGAGUGAAGAAGGUUUUCGGAUCGUAAAACUCUGUUGUUAGAGAAGAACAAGGACGUUAGUAACUGAACGUCCCCUGACGGUAUCUAACCAGAAAGCCACGGCUAACUACGUG